This 604-nucleotide ribosomal RNA is filed under the name uncultured Colletotrichum. RNAcentral describes it as "eukaryotic LSU rRNA". The stretch from base 243 to 396 matches the Rfam family "5.8S ribosomal RNA". Lineage: Eukaryota; Fungi; Ascomycota; Sordariomycetes; Glomerellales; Plectosphaerellaceae. The record is from RNAcentral.
UCUUGGGUCAAUUAGAGGAAGUAAAAGUCGUAACAAGGUCUCCGUUGGUGAACCAGCGGAGGGAUCAUUACUGAGUUUACGCUCUACAACCCUUUGUGAACAUACCUAUAACUGUUGCUUCGGCGGGUAGGGUCUCCGUGACCCUCCCGGCCUCCCGCCCCCGGGCGGGUCGGCGCCCGCCGGAGGAUAACCAAACUCUGAUUUAACGACGUUUCUUCUGAGUGGUACAAGCAAAUAAUCAAAACUUUUAACAACGGAUCUCUUGGUUCUGGCAUCGAUGAAGAACGCAGCGAAAUGCGAUAAGUAAUGUGAAUUGCAGAAUUCAGUGAAUCAUCGAAUCUUUGAACGCACAUUGCGCCCGCCAGCAUUCUGGCGGGCAUGCCUGUUCGAGCGUCAUUUCAACCCUCAAGCUCUGCUUGGUGUUGGGGCCCUACAGCUGAUGUAGGCCCUCAAAGGUAGUGGCGCACCCUCCCGGAGCCUCCUUUGCGUAGUAACUUUACGUCUCGCACUGGGAUCCGGAGGGACUCUUGCCGUAAAACCCCCAAUUUUCCAAAGGUUGACCUCGGAUCAGGUAGGAAUACCCGCUGAACUUAAGCAUAUCAAA